This 534-nucleotide ribosomal RNA is filed under the name uncultured bacterium. Its description in RNAcentral is "partial 16S ribosomal RNA". It matches the Rfam family "Bacterial small subunit ribosomal RNA", at positions 355 to 902 of the family's 1533-position model. The record is from RNAcentral.
UGGGGAAUAUUGGACAAUGGGCGCAAGCCUGAUCCAGCCAUGCCGCGUGAGUGAUGAAGGCCUUAGGGUUGUAAAAGCUCUUUCACCCACGACGAUAAUGACGGUAGUGGGAGAAGAAGCCCCCGGCUAACUUCGUGCCAGCAGCCGCGGUAAUACGAAGGGGGCUAGCGUUGCUCGGAAUCACUGGGCGUAAAGGGCGCGUAGGCGGCCGAUCAAGUCAGGGGUGAAAGCCUGUGGCUCAACCACAGAAUUGCCUUUGAUACUGUUCGGCUCGAGACCGGAAGAGGUUGGUGGAACUGCGAGUGUAGAGGUGAAAUUCGUAGAUAUUCGCAAGAACACCAGUGGCGAAGGCGGCCAACUGGUCCGGUUCUGACGCUGAGGCGCGAAAGCGUGGGGAGCAAACAGGAUUAGAUACCCUGGUAGUCCACGCCGUAAAACGAUGAAUGCCAGCCGUUGGGCAGCUUGCUGCUCAGUGGCGCAGCUAACGCUUUAAAGCAUUCCGCCUGGGGAGUACGGUCGCAAGAUUAAAAACUC